UGAUCCUGGCUCAGGAUGAACGCUGGCGGCGUGCUUAACACAUGCAAGUCGAACGAACCUUCGGGUUAGUGGCGGACGGGUGAGUAACGCGUGGGAAUCUGCCCUCAGGAGGGGGAUAACGGCUGGAAACGGCCGCUAAUACCCCAUAUGCCGAGAGGUGAAAUGAAAUUCGCCUGAGGAUGAGCCCGCGUCUGAUUAGCUAGUUGGUGGGGUAAGAGCCUACCAAGGCGACGAUCAGUAGCUGGUCUGAGAGGAUGAUCAGCCACACUGGGACUGAGACACGGCCCAGACUCCUACGGGAGGCAGCAGUGGGGAAUUUUCCGCAAUGGGCGCAAGCCUGACGGAGCAACGCCGCGUGAGGGACGAAGGCCUCUGGGCUGUAAACCUCUUUUCUCAAGGAAGAAGAUCUGACGGUACUUGAGGAAUAAGCCACGGCUAAUUCCGUGCCAGCAGCCGCGGUAAUACGGGAGUGGCAAGCGUUAUCCGGAAUUAUUGGGCGUAAAGCGUCCGCAGGCGGCUUUGUAAGUCUGCUGUCAAAGCGUGGAGCUUAACUCCAUUUCGGCAGUGGAAACUACGAGGCUUGAGUGUGGUAGGGGCAGAGGGAAUUCCCGGUGUAGCGGUGAAAUGCGUA
RNAcentral lists this ribosomal RNA (631 nucleotides) under uncultured bacterium. RNAcentral describes it as "bacterial SSU rRNA". It matches the Rfam family "Bacterial small subunit ribosomal RNA", at positions 14 to 692 of the family's 1533-position model. The record is from RNAcentral.